RNAcentral lists this ribosomal RNA (320 nucleotides) under uncultured bacterium. RNAcentral's name for it is "bacterial SSU rRNA". It matches the Rfam family "Bacterial small subunit ribosomal RNA", at positions 470 to 789 of the family's 1533-position model. The record is from RNAcentral.
UGACGGUACUUGACUAAGAAGCUCCGGCUAAAUACGUGCCAGCAGCCGCGGUAAUACGUAUGGAGCAAGCGUUAUCCGGAUUUACUGGGUGUAAAGGGAGCGUAGACGGCAAAGCAAGUCUGAAGUGAAAUCCCGGGGCUCAACCCCGGAACUGCUUUGGAAACUGUUUAGCUGGAGUGCAGGAGAGGUAAGCGGAAUUCCUAGUGUAGCGGUGAAAUGCGUAGAUAUUAGGAGGAACACCGGUGGCGAAGGCGGCUUACUGGACUGAAACUGACACUGAGGCACGAAAGCGUGGGGAGCAAACAGGAUUAGAUACCCUG